UACGGGGGGUGCAAGCGUUGUCCGGAAUCAUUGGGCGUAAAGAGUUCGUAGGCGGCACGUAAAGUCUGGUGUUAAAGGCAGAGGCUCAACUUCUGUACGGCACUGGAUACUUGCGAGCUAGAAUGCGGUAGAGGUAAAGGGAAUUCCUGGUGUAGCGGUGAAAUGCGUAGAGAUCGGGAGGAACACCAGUGGCGAAGGCGGCCUGCUGGGCUCUAACUGACGCUGAGGCACGAAAGCGUGGGUAGCAAACAGG
This 253-nucleotide ribosomal RNA is filed under the name uncultured cyanobacterium. Its description in RNAcentral is "partial 16S ribosomal RNA". It matches the Rfam family "Bacterial small subunit ribosomal RNA", at positions 524 to 776 of the family's 1533-position model. Lineage: Bacteria; Bacillati; Cyanobacteriota. The record is from RNAcentral.